Molecule: unclassified non-coding RNA, 227 nt
Filed under: uncultured fungus
Lineage: Eukaryota; Fungi
Description: sequence contains ITS1, 5.8S rRNA gene
Rfam family: 5.8S ribosomal RNA (bases 179-227)
Source: RNAcentral
UCUCCGUAGGUGAACCUGCGGAGGGAUCAUUACUGAGUGAGGGUUUAACCGCCCGACCUCCAACCCUUUGUGAAUCGUACUCGUUGCUUCGGGGGCGACCCUGCCGUCCGCGGCUGAGCGCCCCCGGGGUCAAUCAAACACUGCAUCUUUGCGUCGGAGUCUUAAUGAAUUUAAACAAAACUUUUAACAACGGAUCUCUUGGUUCUGGCAUCGAUGAAGAACGCAGC